This 497-nucleotide ribosomal RNA is filed under the name uncultured bacterium. Its description in RNAcentral is "partial 16S ribosomal RNA". It matches the Rfam family "Bacterial small subunit ribosomal RNA", at positions 28 to 507 of the family's 1533-position model. The record is from RNAcentral.
GAUGAACGCUGGCGGCGUGCCUAAUACAUGCAAGUCGAGCGAACAGACGAGGAGCUUGCUCCUCUGACGUUAGCGGCGGACGGGUGAGUAACACGUGGAUAACCUACCUAUAAGACUGGGAUAACUUCGGGAAACCGGAGCUAAUACCGGAUAAUAUAUUGAACCGCAUGGUUCAAUAGUGAAAGACGGUUUUGCUGUCACUUAUAGAUGGAUCCGCGCCGCAUUAGCUAGUUGGUAAGGUAACGGCUUACCAAGGCAACGAUGCGUAGCCGACCUGAGAGGGUGAUCGGCCAGACGGGAUGUGAGACUCGUUCCAGACUCCUACGGGAGGCAGCAGUAGGGACUCUUCCGCAAUGGGCGAAAGCCUAACGGAGCAACGCCGCGUGAGUGAUGAAGGUCUUCGGAUCGUAAAACUAUGUUAUUAGGGAAGAACAAAUGUGUAAGUAACUAUGCACGUCUUGACGGUACCUAAUCAGAAAGCCACGGCUAACUACGUG